GAUGAACGCUGGCGGCGUGCUUAACACAUGCAAGUCGAACGGAAAGGCUCCUGCUUGCAGGGGUACUCGAGUGGCGAACGGGUGAGUAACACGUGGGUGAUCUGCCCUGCACUUCGGGAUAAGCCUGGGAAACUGGGUCUAAUACCGGAUAGGACGAUGGUUUGGAUGCCAUUGUGGAAAGUUUUUUCGGUGUGGGAUGAGCUCGCGGCCUAUCAGCUUGUUGGUGGGGUAAUGGCCUACCAAGGCGUCGACGGGUAGCCGGCUUGAGAGGGUGUACGGCCACAUUGGGACUGAGAUACGGCCCAGACUCCUACGGGAGGCAGCAGUGGGGAAUAUUGCACAAUGGGCGCAAGCCUGAUGCAGCGACGCCGCGUGGGGGAUGACGGCCUUCGGGUUGUAAACUCCUUUCGCUAGGGACGAAGCGCAAGUGACGGUACCUGGAGAAGAAGCACCGGCUAACUACGUG
Molecule: ribosomal RNA, 466 nt
Filed under: uncultured bacterium
Lineage: Bacteria
Description: partial 16S ribosomal RNA
Rfam family: Bacterial small subunit ribosomal RNA
Source: RNAcentral